GGAGGGCUGGCCGAGCGGCGAAGGCACCCGCCUGCUAAGCGGGUGGGCGGCCCUGAGGUCGUCCCGGGGGUUCGAAUCCCCCGCCCUCCG
This 90-nucleotide transfer RNA is filed under the name Thermanaeromonas toyohensis ToBE. It matches the Rfam family "tRNA". Rfam says of the family: Transfer RNA (tRNA) molecules are approximately 80 nucleotides in length. Their secondary structure includes four short double-helical elements and three loops (D, anti-codon, and T loops). The record is from Rfam by way of RNAcentral. Lineage: Bacteria; Bacillati; Bacillota; Clostridia; Neomoorellales; Neomoorellaceae.